UACGUAAGGGGCAAGCGUUGUCCGGAAUCACUGGGCGUAGAGGGCGCGUAGGCUGUUUGGUAAGUAGAAGGUGAAAGAUUCGGGCUCAACCCGAAAACUGCCUUCUAAACUGCCUUACUUGAGGGUCUGAGGGGAAGCUGGAAUUCACGGUGUAGCGGUGAAAUGCGUAGAUAUCGUGGAGAACACCCGUGGCGAAAGCGGGCUUCUGGCAGACUCCUGACGCUGAGGCGCGAAGGCUAGGGGAGCAAACGGGAUUAGAUACCCCCGUAGUCC
This 273-nucleotide ribosomal RNA is filed under the name uncultured bacterium. RNAcentral's name for it is "partial 16S ribosomal RNA". It matches the Rfam family "Bacterial small subunit ribosomal RNA", at positions 524 to 796 of the family's 1533-position model. The record is from RNAcentral.